GGGGGGGGGUGAUAACAUAAAUAAACCACAAAACACAAAAUAAUUACAAUUUCAUAGCUCAACCCAAUCUAAUUCAGUAAAUACCUAUUCGCCCAAAAUAAACUACAGUUCAUGUCUUCCUUUAGUUUAGGCCCAAAUUCGCACCCAAGCCCAAUAUUUUGUCCUACUACUACAAAAAAAGGAAAUUUAGCCAGCAAGUAACCUUAGCUAAAUGAUACACAAAAC
This 225-nucleotide long non-coding RNA is filed under the name Solanum tuberosum (potato). Its description in RNAcentral is "long non-coding RNA (STUB_LNC004639)". The record is from RNAcentral. Lineage: Eukaryota; Viridiplantae; Streptophyta; Magnoliopsida; Solanales; Solanaceae.